This 253-nucleotide ribosomal RNA is filed under the name uncultured bacterium. Its description in RNAcentral is "partial 16S ribosomal RNA". It matches the Rfam family "Bacterial small subunit ribosomal RNA", at positions 524 to 776 of the family's 1533-position model. The record is from RNAcentral.
UACGUAGGGUGCAAGCGUUGUCCGGAAUUAUUGGGCGUAAAGAGCUCGUAGGCGGUCUGUCGCGUCAGCUGUGAAAACUCGGGGCUCAACCCCGAGCCUGCAGUCGAUACGGGCAGACUAGAGUCCGGCAGGGGAGACUGGAAUUCCUGGUGUAGCGGUGAAAUGCGCAGAUAUCAGGAGGAACACCGGUGGCGAAGGCGGGUCUCUGGGCCGGAACUGACGCUGAGGAGCGAAAGCGUGGGGAGCGAACAGG